CCUCAUGCUAGCCACUUUACAUUGUUGUUUUGCUGGUGGUGGUCUAAAGAUUUCAUUUUUAUAGGCCCUCAAAGCCUAGGAAAAACUUGCUGCGCCACCGAACUAAAGAAGGUGCUGAGAAAACCCACAAGAUGUGCAGUUGCUGCCUGGCUUGAUUGUCUUCAAAUGAAGACAGAUGAGCAGGAGAGUUUUAAAUGCAAGCUGCUUAUGUUCAGAAAAAUGGCUGCUAGAUUACA
RNAcentral lists this long non-coding RNA (236 nucleotides) under Coturnix japonica (Japanese quail). Its description in RNAcentral is "lncRNA (ENSCJPG00005014403.1)". Lineage: Eukaryota; Metazoa; Chordata; Aves; Galliformes; Phasianidae. The record is from RNAcentral.